AAAUGACUUGAAAGUACAGUAGUAUUUUUCUUUUAAAAUGGUGUUCGAGCCAGCUUGCUCGCACCUCGAUAAUUCUACUAGCAACCUUCCACCAGCAGAAAGGCUUGGCCAGUUGACACACUUGGAACUUGUAAGUACAAUAGUUGGUUAAUAUUUCUAAGUCCUAUGUACUUGGAGCUUGGGAUAUUACAAAAUAGAGCUGCAUUCAACUUUCUGGGACUCCAGAACACUUCUAGCAGCCUCUUUGACUACUUGUCCACUCACAUAAUGCUUGCGGCAGACAGG
Molecule: unclassified non-coding RNA, 285 nt
Filed under: Hevea brasiliensis (rubber tree)
Lineage: Eukaryota; Viridiplantae; Streptophyta; Magnoliopsida; Malpighiales; Euphorbiaceae
Source: RNAcentral